Molecule: ribosomal RNA, 482 nt
Filed under: uncultured bacterium
Lineage: Bacteria
Description: partial 16S ribosomal RNA
Rfam family: Bacterial small subunit ribosomal RNA
Source: RNAcentral
AUUGAACGCUGGCGGCAUGCCUUACACAUGCAAGUCGAACGGUAACGGGCCUUCGGGUGCCGACGAGUGGCGAACGGGUGAGUAAUACAUCGGAACGUGCCCGAUCGUGGGGGAUAACGAGGCGAAAGCUUUGCUAAUACCGCAUACGAUCUACGGAUGAAAGCAGGGGACCGCAAGGCCUUGCGCGGACGGAGCGGCCGAUGGCAGAUUAGGUAGUUGGUGGGAUAAAAGCUUACCAAGCCGACGAUCUGUAGCUGGUCUGAGAGGAUGAUCAGCCACACUGGGACUGAGACACGGCCCAGACUCCUACGGGAGGCAGCAGUGGGGAAUUUUGGACAAUGGGCGCAAGCCUGAUCCAGCCAUGCCGCGUGCAGGAUGAAGGCCUUCGGGUUGUAAACUGCUUUUGUACGGAACGAAAAGCCUUCUUUUAAUACAGGAGGGUCAUGACGGUAGCGUAAGAAUAAGCACCGGCUAACUACGUG